GCCCGACUAGCGCAAUGGUAGCGCGUUAGACUUCUAUAAACAAAGCAAAAAAUCUAAAGGCUACGGGUUCGAAUCCCGUGUUGGGUU
Molecule: transfer RNA, 87 nt
Filed under: Nemania serpens
Lineage: Eukaryota; Fungi; Ascomycota; Sordariomycetes; Xylariales; Xylariaceae
Description: tRNA-Arg
Rfam family: tRNA
About the family: Transfer RNA (tRNA) molecules are approximately 80 nucleotides in length. Their secondary structure includes four short double-helical elements and three loops (D, anti-codon, and T loops). Further hydrogen bonds mediate the characteristic L-shaped molecular structure. tRNAs have two regions of fundamental functional importance: the anti-codon, which is responsible for specific mRNA codon recognition, and the 3' end, to which the tRNAs corresponding amino acid is attached (by aminoacyl-tRNA synthetases). tRNAs cope with the degeneracy of the genetic code in two manners: having more than one tRNA (with a specific anti-codon) for a particular amino acid; and 'wobble' base-pairing, i.e. permitting non-standard base-pairing at the 3rd anti-codon position.
Source: RNAcentral